CGCGGGGUGGAGCAGUCUGGUAGCUCGUCGGGCUCAUAACCCGGAGGUCGCAGGUUCAAAUCCUGCCCCCGCUCCCA
Molecule: transfer RNA, 77 nt
Filed under: Armatimonadota bacterium
Lineage: Bacteria; Bacillati; Armatimonadota
Description: Armatimonadetes bacterium (anaerobic digester metagenome) tRNA-Met
Rfam family: tRNA
About the family: Transfer RNA (tRNA) molecules are approximately 80 nucleotides in length. Their secondary structure includes four short double-helical elements and three loops (D, anti-codon, and T loops).
Source: RNAcentral